ACAAACCACCCUAGUCAAGUUUCAAAGUAAGUUUGGACACAAACCAAAUGUAUAUGGCAUUUAGAUUUUUGCGAGUGUGUUUGUUUGUUUACCUCUAUACAUUCGCACUAUGAACCAGUUGAACCGUUGAACCGGUGCAGCUGUCAAGUUAAUUUUCCUCGCGCUUUUUAUUGUCGCCAUCUUUUUUUACUGUUACUGUUUACCAUAAUCGGAAGAGGUUUCUAAUAUUUUUAAAACUCCCGGAAUGAAAAAGAAAAUUGCGGAAAUUUGACCAGUGGAUUCUGCUGGAUUGUUUCGGUGAGGCGGCGGUAGUAGUGGGAGUGAUUUCGGCGGGAAUCCAUCCGAAGUGCUGAACGUCAGACAUGUCAACAAAACAUGAAGCAGCCAAUUCAUCUCCUACCGACGAAAAACGUUAUCUUCCGACCUUUCGUGCUAAUCCAAGUUUAAAAUAAAACCAUACACUACCAUGAAUCCCAAUGAUCAGGUCCAGUUUUCUGCCAGUUCGAUUUGUGACGAUCGUCGGAUGUCUGGGCAUCAGCGAGGAAGGUGCGAUUCCCCUCGAAGAGGAAGUCCAUGGAAGUGCAUUACUGAGUUGCGAUGGGAUGAGUUCUGCCAAAGCAAGAAUAAUGUUUCAGCUCGGAUGCCAGAAGCUGCAAAAGCAACAGGAUCAGUUCUUCGAACUAUAGCAGGAACAUCAAUGGACCAGCUCCAGUUCGUCAUCCACCAACGGGAAACAGUCUUCAUUGUACUGUGGGGUGUACCAUAAGUAUCCAGAAAACCCGGAAGUGGAUAAACCCAAAACGGUGGUAAAGCUGCUGAGCCGAGAAACCGAAAAGAACCGACCAUUGCGUGCCCGUGCAAAUCUAUGGCAGAAGAACCGGUUCGACGGUAUUUCUUGUGCUUUCGUUGCGUAGGUGUUGUAAUUAAUCUUUUGCUUCGUUUGUAUUAGGUACUUUUCGACGGCAAAGCUCUGCCGAGCCAUGACAGACGGACACUUCGUUUUGACAGAAUGUCUCUUUCGGAAACGAGUAAACAGAGCAAUCACAAGCCCUCCUUUUCCGUGCACCUACCGUGCCCCACUAGGAAUCACAAUUCGUUUGGUUAGCCUGAUUUCUUCGGGGAUAACGAUCGAUCACCAUGCUCACAAAGCAGUCGGAUCUGCGGCCACUCGAUCCCAGCAGAUCCACGUAUAUUUCUCGGAAUAGCCUUGUCCUUAAAGCGGACAAUUCAUAAAAUAUUUAUGUAUUAUAAAUUACGAAUAUAAACCAUAAAAAGAUGUGUAUUUGAAUUUCAGAAAGUUCUUUUUUAGAUUACAAUGUAAACAAGCCGAAAAUAACAAAAAAAGAAUAAGAACAGAGAAAAGAAAAAGAAGAAGCAAUAUGGUACCCACAUCUAGAAGAAGUCUAGAAGCGAGUCUAGAAGACCCGUGGUAUUCGAGUCUAGAAGAUAUCGAGGUAAUAUCUAAGAGACCACACCUGUCAUAUCCCUAUCGGUUCAAACGGUCUACUCGUCUAAAAUUUGAGGUAGACACCGGUUUAAACGGUUGUUGCAUUUGAGGCGGAUUUGAGGUCUGACAGGUUCUAGAAAUCGACCAAAAAUAUCUAGGAGACUAAUUUUUUUGUCUCAGAGAUAUCACGGGAGAUUUCUA
Long non-coding RNA from Armigeres subalbatus, 1648 nucleotides. RefSeq lists it as uncharacterized. The record is from RefSeq and is a predicted model, not a curated record. NCBI's taxonomy places the organism in Eukaryota, Metazoa, Arthropoda, Insecta, Diptera, Culicidae. The transcript is spliced from 3 exons.